AGCGUGAGAAUCUGGCUUCAGGUCUGGGACAACCACUGGAAACGGUGGCUAAUACCGGAUGUGCCGAGAGGUGAAAGGUAACUGCCUGAAGAUGAGCUCGCGUCUGAUUAGCUAGUUGGAAGUGUAAUGGACUCCCAAGGCGACGAUCAGUAGCUGGUCUGAGAGGACGAUCAGCCACACUGGGACUGAGACACGGCCCAGACUCCUACGGGAGGCAGCAGUGGGGAAUUUUCCGCAAUGGGCGAAAGCCUGACGGAGCAAACCGCGUGAGGGAGGAAGGCUCUUGGGUCGUAAACCUCUUUUCUCAGGGAAGAAGACAAUGACGGUACCUGAGGAAUAAGCAUCGGCUAACUCCGUGCCAGCAGCCGCGGUAAUACGGAGGAUGCAAGCGUUAUCCGGAAUGAUUGGGCGUAAAGCGUCCGCAGGUGGCGAUGUAAGUCUGCUGUUAAAGAGUCUAGCUCAACUAGAUAAGAGCAGUGGAACUACAUAGCUAGAGUACGUUCGGGGCAGAGGGAAUUCCUGGUGUAGCGGUGAAAUGCGUAGAGAUCAGGAAGAACACCGGUGGCGAAGGCGCUCUGCUAGGCCGUAACUGACACUGAGGGACGAAAGCUAGGGGAGCGAAUGGGAUAGAUAC
RNAcentral lists this ribosomal RNA (634 nucleotides) under Nostoc edaphicum PUPCCC 405.9/1. RNAcentral's name for it is "bacterial SSU rRNA". It matches the Rfam family "Bacterial small subunit ribosomal RNA", at positions 114 to 785 of the family's 1533-position model. Lineage: Bacteria; Bacillati; Cyanobacteriota; Cyanophyceae; Nostocales; Nostocaceae. The record is from RNAcentral.